This is a long non-coding RNA of Mirounga angustirostris (Northern elephant seal), 6412 nucleotides long. RefSeq lists it as uncharacterized. The transcript is spliced from 5 exons. Lineage: Eukaryota; Metazoa; Chordata; Mammalia; Carnivora; Phocidae. The record is from RefSeq and is a predicted model, not a curated record.
GAAGAUCCCCGGGGUGCCUUUGGCCGCCCGUUUGACUUUCGCUUUGGGAACUGUGUGUUAUCACAAUAAAGAUAUUUCCAGACUGCAAAGGAUGGGAGGUGCCCAGGCCUCCUCGAGAGCAAGCCGCCGCGCCCGCCAAAUUCAAGGCCUCCGUCCGCCCCCGCGCGCGCGCACACGCACCCCUGCCCGGCGACCCCAACGGCCGCGCCCCGGGCCGGGCGGUGGAAAGCGCGCAAACGCUUCUGCGGAGGCUGCUCCUCGCGCGUGUGAACUUCCUGCUCCGCGGCCCCGGGCGAGGCUGAGGGGGCGGGGCGGGCGGCGGACGCGGGUGGGGACCAGCUCCCGCCGCUGGGGACGUCGCCGCCGCGCCGGGGACCCGCGCCCCUGCCUCUGCUCCCCGCGCCGGCCCCUCCGGAAGCGGCUUUGGGCCGAGGCUGGGGUUGCAUCCCCGCCUUCGGGGCUCUUCUGCGGCCUUGGGGACCCCGGCGCAGCGCGCCUGCCCUGGUCCCGCCCUGCGCCCCACUCCCGCGUCUCACACCCCCCCCCCGCAGCUGGGGCCGGAGGGUCCCGGGGGAGAAAUGAGACGGAGGAAACCACGAAAUCGGGUCCAAGGGGAAAAAAGACAGACAAAGGGAUGGAUUGCCCCCCCCACCCCACCCCCCGUUCUUGGCAACAACUUCCAGAGGAUCCAGGGAAGGGGAAUUUGAUAACCAUAUGAGAAUACGGAGGAUCUGAGGAGACAAAAACAUUGCCUUAAACCAUUCAGUUAGAGGCAGAUUUAGUACACAGCCAUAUGAUCCAUUCACAGCUUCCAGAUGCUGUGUUGAUGGUCACCAGUUCCCCCAGAGCAAGCAACAAUGCAGGGAGGAAUUAGGAGCCAUGGCCGUCGACUAGCUCCUUGGGAUCCAGGUGUUUCUGCUUACCUUCUGGGAACUGAGACUCCCCGCUCCUUUUCGAUGGUGCCAAACACAUGUAGGCAUGGAUUCAAGCACCCACACUCACUGCUUGCCAGGCAAGCCAGUCAGUCUCAUCCCUGGACCUGGGCCAAGGCUUAGUGAAGGAGCCAUGGAUGGGGACAAACCAGCUCUCUGGCUGCUCAGGGCUUGAACUGAGGACCCCGAGAUCAAGACCUGAGCUGAGAUCAAGAAUCAGACACUUAACCAACUAAGCCACCCAGGCGCCCUGAAAAUCUGCUUUCAGAGUGACUCACUCACAUGGCUAGUUAGUUGAUUCUAGCAAGUUGGUGUCCUUUUCGUUGGGUUUUCCACAAGGCUGCUUGAGUAACCUCAUGACCUAGUCGCUGGUUUCCACCAAAGUAAGUGAUGAAAGAGAGUGAGAGAGAGAAAGAACGAGAGAGAGAGAGAACAACAGGCAGAGAGUGUAUUCUUUUUAUGACCUAGCCCCAGUCAUCACAAAGCCUCACUCCAUCACUCCCAAUACAUUCUGUUUGUUAGAAGCAAGUCAGUGAAUGUAGUACACUUUCAAGUGGGGGAGUUAGGUUCCACCGGUGGAAGGGAAGAGGGUCGUAAUUAGCAGAUACACAGUUGACCCUUGAACAACAUGAGGGUUAGAGGUGCUGACCCCUGUGUAAGUUGAACAUCUGCAUAUAACUUUUGACUCCCCCCAAACUUAACUACUAAUAGCCUACUGUUGACCAGAAGCCUGAUCGAUUACAUAAUCAGUCAAUUAACACAUAUUUUGCAUGUUGUAUGUAUUCUUACUAUAAAGUAAGCCAGAGAAAAGAAAUUGUUAAUAAGAAAGUCAUAAGGAGGAAAAAAUACAUAUAGAGUAUUGUAGUGUAUUUAUAUAAAAAAAAAUCUGCACAUAAGUGGAUCUGCACAGUUCAAACCCAUGUUGUUCAAGGGUCAGGUGUAUUUUAAAACCAUCACAGAAUCCAACUUAGGUUUUGUCUGAGUUUGCAGACCGCUGUCACCUGUUGAAUACUCUAUCAUCACCACACCAAUCCGAACCAUCAUCAUUUGUAUUUACCAAAAUCACAUAUAAAUUUGGGUCACUUCUGUUUCCCAUCCUGUACUGGUGUCACAUUUUAGCCUAGUAUUUCGGACAAGCUGCUUUCCUUGAGCAGAGGAAGAACUGGGAGAGAACCUCUCUGGUCCCUCAAGGGGCAAAUGCUGAGAAAGGUGUGUUACAGAACAACAGAAAAUAUACUGCUUUUCUCUCUCGUUCGCUGGGGAGAGGGAUUAGUUGUGAUGAAGCCCUGUGCUCAUGUCAGAGAGUAAAGGCCCUCAUCCUGCUAAUUCAGACACAUGGGGGCUGCAAGUGCUGCCUCCUACCCAGAGGGGGCCUCUGGUGACCUUCAGAAGGACAUGAAGAUAGAGUUGUCUUUUCAACAAUGAAGGCUUCUUUGGUGGACACUCAGCUCUGGGCAGGCUGAGACCACAUGGGCACAACCUGGGGGGUGGGUAGAGCCAAGAUAUUGGGAAUGGGUAUGGCCAGUAGCAACCUUGAUUGAACAAUAAUAGCUAGACUUAAAAAAACAAACCAACCACUUUUCAAAUUAGUAGGAACUUGGUCUUGUUCUGCAUUAUCGCCCCGAAGGCCUGUUUGGGUGAGCAGGAAUGGGGCACAGCAGGAAUUUCCAGACAGGGGCCAUUCCCGGAGUCAGGUAGGUAUGGUCUCUUGUGGCAAGAGCACCCAUUCCUGGUGAAGCAAAUGUGGCCAGCACCCUGUGGUCCAGGGAGGUACAGGGAGGAGCGUGCAGACCCCACAGGGAGAGGUGGGCAAGAUUCACUCAGAGGACUAGGAUGCUGGCCAAGUAGCUGCAUUUCAGGCCAGAAUCCAGGCUCACCAGGGAAAGGGUGAAAUAUAAAUCAGAAAAACCUUGCCUUUGGAGCAGGGAUGGCUGCAUUUCACACCAAUUCUGGUUUAGGAAGACAAGACUGAUGCUGGACGCCCCCUGCUGGAGAGGAUGUGGCAUCUCAUGGGUGGCCAAGAAGGAGGGCUCCUCGCCUGGAGAGCCAAGUGAAUUGAGUCUCAACGAGGAGGCUUGUGGUGUGGAAUCCCUCCCUCCCUCUGAAUCCCCUCACUCACCCUCUCUCAACAGCCCACCAAUGCCUACUGAUCUUCAGGGUACAGGGGCAUCCUUCCACCUACAAACAGAUCAAAUUGGCACAUGAGUCUUGGCCCCUGGAUUCACCAAUUACCAGCUCAAGAAAGCCCUGAGUGGAAAAUUCAAGAGGAUCACGUUUGGCUUCAAUGCGUACAGGUCUCUUGAUACUUUGCACAGUCUGGGUCUUGGGCCCUCUAUUUCUAAGUAUGGGCUUUGAAAUGGUGGGUCUUGGAGGAGUCUGUCUUGCUUUCACUCACAAUAACAGUGAUGGUCUCUCAUGGCCACCAACAUCCAAACCCAAGCGUCCGCUGUGAAGCGUUGGAAGAGAGAGGCCAAGAGACGCAAUAUACCUGACCUGCUGGGGGUCCAUUGCUGGACAAAAUGAUCAGAAAAGACCACUGCCCACCAGAAUAGAGCUGUUCACAAAAAACAAGUGGAUAGGCUGAGAAGUUGAGUUUUGUCAACUAUGAGCACAACAAAUUGUUUCGACCCCCAGACCCGGAGCAUGGCUUCCCUUACGUCCCAUUCAGAUCAUCACUGCCAACUGUAGGGUUUUUGUCUGCUUACUGGUCUUGUUUUAACCUCACCCUGAGCCCUCUGCUCCAUCCAUGAAAUGGGAUUAAGCCCCGCCCUUCCACAAAAUUAAGACAAGGCUAUUUGUGUGUGUUAAGAUGAAUUGAGACCAUAGCCAAUUUCUUUUUUUUUUUUUAAGCAUUCCUUUAUUGUGGAAAAAUACACAUAACAUAAAACUUACCAUUUUAGCCAUUUUCAGUGUAUAGUUCAGCGGCAUUAAGUACAUUCACACUGUUGUGCAACGAUCACCACUCUCCAUCUCCAGAACUUUUUCAUCUUUCCAAAUGGAAACUUGAUACACGUUAAACCACCUCUCAUUUCCCCUUCCCUGGCCCAUGGGAGUCACCAUUCUACCUUGUGUGUCUAUGAAUUUGACUAUUCUAGGUACCUCACAUACAUGGAAUUGUAUAGUAUUUGUCUUUUUGUGACUGACUUAUUUCACCUGGUGUCAUGUCUUCUUUCAGAUGUCUCCGUGGAAAUGGAAUUGCUGGAUCGUAGGGUAGUUCUAUUUUAAAGUUUUUGAAGAACCCACACACUGUUCUCCUUAGUGGCUGACCCAGUUUACACUCCCUCCAACAGUGCAUGGGGGCUCCCCUUUCUCCACAUCCUUGCCAACGUUUGUGAUCUCUUGUCCUUUUUUUUUUUUUUUUAAAGAUUUAUUUAUUUAUUUGCGAGAGAGAGAAUGAGAGACAGAGAGCACGAGAGGGAAGAGGGCAGAGGGAGAAGCAGACCCCCUGCUGAGCAGGGAGCCCGAUGCGGGACUCGAUCCCGGGACUCCAGGAUCAUGACCUGAGCCGAACGCAGUCGCUUAACCAACUGAGCCACCCAGGCGCCCAUCUCUUGUCCUUUGUUAACAGCUAUCCUAAUGGGUGUGAGGUGGUAUCUUCGGUUCUGCUUUGCUUUUCCCUGAUGAUGAGUGAUGUUGAGCAUCUUUUCAUGCACCUGUUGGCCAUUUGUAUGUCUUCUUUGGAACAAUGUCUAUUUGGGCCCUUUGCCCAUUUUUUAGUUGGAUUAUUAUUAUUAUUUUUAAAGAUUUUAUUUAUUUAUUUGAGAGAGACUGGGAGAGAGAUAGGACACAUGCACAAGCAGUGGGGGGUGGUGUAGAGAGAGAGGGAGAGAAUCCCAAGCUGACUCCGGGCUGAGCGUGGAGCUUGAUGCGGGGUUCAAUCUCAUGACCCGGAGAUCAUGACCUGAGCUGAAACCGAGAGUCAGACACUUAACCUACUGAGCCACCCAGGUGCCCCAGAUUAUUAUUUUUUUAUUAAGUUGGUUUUUUUUUAAAGAUUUUAUUUAUUUGAGAGAGAGAGAAUGAGAUAGAGAAAGCAUGAGGGGGGGGAGGGUCAGAGGGAGAAGCAGACUCCCCGCCGAGCAGGGAGCCCAAUGCGGGACUCGAUCCCGGGACUCCAGGAUCAUGACCUGAGCCAAAGGCAGUUGCUUAAUCAACUGAGCCACCCAGGUGCCCCUAUUUUUUAUUAAGUUGUAGGAUUUCCCUAUAUAUUUUGGGUAUCACCCCCUUCUUAGAUAUAUGGUUUGCAGAUAUUUUCUCCCAUUCUGGAGUUGCCUUUCCAUUUUGUUGAAGGUUGCUUUUGCCGUGCAGAAGCAGCUUUUAGAUUUGAUGUAGUCCCACUUGUUGAUUCUUGGUUUUUGUUCCUUGUGCUUUUGGUGUCAUCCAAAAACAUCACUGCCGAGAACAAUGCCAAGGAGCUGUUUCCUGUGCUUUCUUCUAUGAGUUUUAUGGUUUCAAGUUUUACAUUUAAGUCUUUAAUCCAACUCAAGUUGAUUUCUGUGAGUGGUGUAAGAUAGGGGUCUCAUUUCAUUCUUUUGCAUGCGAAUAUCAAGUUUUCCUAUCACCAUUUAUCAGAGAGCCUGUCCUUUCUCCUUGAGUAUUCUUGGCUGCCUUGUCAAAUAUUAGUUGACCCUAUACACCUGGGUUUAUUUCUGGGCUUUUGAUUCUGUUCCAUUGGUCUAUGUGUCUGUUUUAAUGCCAAUACCCUACUGUUCUGGUCGCUAUAGCUUUGUAAUAUAGCUUGAAACCAGGCAGUGGGAUACCUCCAUCUUUGUUCUUCUUUCUCAACAUUGCUUUGGUUCUUUGGGGUCUUUCGUGUUUCCAUGUGAAUUUUGGGUUUUUGCUAUUUCUGUGCAAAAUGCCAAUGGAAUUUUGAUAGGGAUUGUAUUGAAACACAAGAUCAUUUUGGAAGGGAGGCUGAAACCUUUAAUGGUGACUGAUGAACUCAAUGGUGAAGGGCAGAGGGAAUUCAGACUCAUCUAGGCCAGAUUAAGACCUUUAGGGGGUCUGUCUCUCAGCUCCACAUGCUGACUUCUAAGGGCUGCUUUUCAUCAUUGAGACUGAAAGUCUGCAACCUACAUGCUGUGACUCCCUGACAUGUCUCCCCUACAUUUCUUUGGCUUCCUGUUAGAUUCUGCCAAAAAGAGGCCCUGGCAGGAGAUCAGAUGGCAAGGAACAGAGAUAAGUAUCCAGUGCAACAGGUGCUGGAAGUUGCUGGUGUGGCAAUGGGCACGGAGCCCCGGUCUAGUUCAUGCAUCUGGUAGAUCCAGAACCAACCGUGAUGGUGUGGUCAGUGGUGCAGCAGGAAGCAGAGGCCCCUGGGGCUGGAAUGCACCACAGGGGCAGGGGCGGGGGCAGCAUAUAAUCACUGAAUUUCCCCUUUUUAACUCUUCCUCACUUUUGUACUCAAUUCUCCGUGUUAAAUUCCCCUGCUUGAAAUACCUUGAAUGAUAGCAAUUAUCCUGCCUGGACCUUGAAUGGCA